Small nuclear RNA from Otolemur garnettii (small-eared galago), 100 nucleotides. The record is from Ensembl. Lineage: Eukaryota; Metazoa; Chordata; Mammalia; Primates; Galagidae.
UUGCUUUGGCAGUACAGAUAAUAAAAAACUGGAACAAUACAGAGAGGCAUGGCCCCUGCUCAAGGAUAACACUCAAACUGGUGAAGCAUUCAGUAGUUUU